Molecule: ribosomal RNA, 2929 nt
Filed under: Escherichia coli
Lineage: Bacteria; Pseudomonadati; Pseudomonadota; Gammaproteobacteria; Enterobacterales; Enterobacteriaceae
Description: bacterial LSU rRNA
Rfam family: Bacterial large subunit ribosomal RNA
Source: RNAcentral
GGGUUGUGAGGUUAAGCGACUAAGCGUACACGGUGGAUGCCCUGGCAGUCAGAGGCGAUGAAGGACGUGCUAAUCUGCGAUAAGCGUCGGUAAGGUGAUAUGAACCGUUAUAACCGGCGAUUUCCGAAUGGGGAAACCCAGUGUGUUUCGACACACUAUCAUUAACUGAAUCCAUAGGUUAAUGAGGCGAACCGGGGGAACUGAAACAUCUAAGUACCCCGAGGAAAAGAAAUCAACCGAGAUUCCCCCAGUAGCGGCGAGCGAACGGGGAGCAGCCCAGAGCCUGAAUCAGUGUGUGUGUUAGUGGAAGCGUCUGGAAAGGCGCGCGAUACAGGGUGACAGCCCCGUACACAAAAAUGCACAUGCUGUGAGCUCGAUGAGUAGGGCGGGACACGUGGUAUCCUGUCUGAAUAUGGGGGGACCAUCCUCCAAGGCUAAAUACUCCUGACUGACCGAUAGUGAACCAGUACCGUGAGGGAAAGGCGAAAAGAACCCCGGCGAGGGGAGUGAAAAAGAACCUGAAACCGUGUACGUACAAGCAGUGGGAGCACGCUUAGGCGUGUGACUGCGUACCUUUUGUAUAAUGGGUCAGCGACUUAUAUUCUGUAGCAAGGUUAACCGAAUAGGGGAGCCGAAGGGAAACCGAGUCUUAACUGGGCGUUAAGUUGCAGGGUAUAGACCCGAAACCCGGUGAUCUAGCCAUGGGCAGGUUGAAGGUUGGGUAACACUAACUGGAGGACCGAACCGACUAAUGUUGAAAAAUUAGCGGAUGACUUGUGGCUGGGGGUGAAAGGCCAAUCAAACCGGGAGAUAGCUGGUUCUCCCCGAAAGCUAUUUAGGUAGCGCCUCGUGAAUUCAUCUCCGGGGGUAGAGCACUGUUUCGGCAAGGGGGUCAUCCCGACUUACCAACCCGAUGCAAACUGCGAAUACCGGAGAAUGUUAUCACGGGAGACACACGGCGGGUGCUAACGUCCGUCGUGAAGAGGGAAACAACCCAGACCGCCAGCUAAGGUCCCAAAGUCAUGGUUAAGUGGGAAACGAUGUGGGAAGGCCCAGACAGCCAGGAUGUUGGCUUAGAAGCAGCCAUCAUUUAAAGAAAGCGUAAUAGCUCACUGGUCGAGUCGGCCUGCGCGGAAGAUGUAACGGGGCUAAACCAUGCACCGAAGCUGCGGCAGCGACACUAUGUGUUGUUGGGUAGGGGAGCGUUCUGUAAGCCUGUGAAGGUGUGCUGUGAGGCAUGCUGGAGGUAUCAGAAGUGCGAAUGCUGACAUAAGUAACGAUAAAGCGGGUGAAAAGCCCGCUCGCCGGAAGACCAAGGGUUCCUGUCCAACGUUAAUCGGGGCAGGGUGAGUCGACCCCUAAGGCGAGGCCGAAAGGCGUAGUCGAUGGGAAACAGGUUAAUAUUCCUGUACUUGGUGUUACUGCGAAGGGGGGACGGAGAAGGCUAUGUUGGCCGGGCGACGGUUGUCCCGGUUUAAGCGUGUAGGCUGGUUUUCCAGGCAAAUCCGGAAAAUCAAGGCUGAGGCGUGAUGACGAGGCACUACGGUGCUGAAGCAACAAAUGCCCUGCUUCCAGGAAAAGCCUCUAAGCAUCAGGUAACAUCAAAUCGUACCCCAAACCGACACAGGUGGUCAGGUAGAGAAUACCAAGGCGCUUGAGAGAACUCGGGUGAAGGAACUAGGCAAAAUGGUGCCGUAACUUCGGGAGAAGGCACGCUGAUAUGUAGGUGAGGUCCCUCGCGGAUGGAGCUGAAAUCAGUCGAAGAUACCAGCUGGCUGCAACUGUUUAUUAAAAACACAGCACUGUGCAAACACGAAAGUGGACGUAUACGGUGUGACGCCUGCCCGGUGCCGGAAGGUUAAUUGAUGGGGUUAGCGCAAGCGAAGCUCUUGAUCGAAGCCCCGGUAAACGGCGGCCGUAACUAUAACGGUCCUAAGGUAGCGAAAUUCCUUGUCGGGUAAGUUCCGACCUGCACGAAUGGCGUAAUGAUGGCCAGGCUGUCUCCACCCGAGACUCAGUGAAAUUGAACUCGCUGUGAAGAUGCAGUGUACCCGCGGCAAGACGGAAAGACCCCGUGAACCUUUACUAUAGCUUGACACUGAACAUUGAGCCUUGAUGUGUAGGAUAGGUGGGAGGCUUAGAAGUGUGGACGCCAGUCUGCAUGGAGCCGACCUUGAAAUACCACCCUUUAAUGUUUGAUGUUCUAACGUUGACCCGUAAUCCGGGUUGCGGACAGUGUCUGGUGGGUAGUUUGACUGGGGCGGUCUCCUCCUAAAGAGUAACGGAGGAGCACGAAGGUUGGCUAAUCCUGGUCGGACAUCAGGAGGUUAGUGCAAUGGCAUAAGCCAGCUUGACUGCGAGCGUGACGGCGCGAGCAGGUGCGAAAGCAGGUCAUAGUGAUCCGGUGGUUCUGAAUGGAAGGGCCAUCGCUCAACGGAUAAAAGGUACUCCGGGGAUAACAGGCUGAUACCGCCCAAGAGUUCAUAUCGACGGCGGUGUUUGGCACCUCGAUGUCGGCUCAUCACAUCCUGGGGCUGAAGUAGGUCCCAAGGGUAUGGCUGUUCGCCAUUUAAAGUGGUACGCGAGCUGGGUUUAGAACGUCGUGAGACAGUUCGGUCCCUAUCUGCCGUGGGCGCUGGAGAACUGAGGGGGGCUGCUCCUAGUACGAGAGGACCGGAGUGGACGCAUCACUGGUGUUCGGGUUGUCAUGCCAAUGGCACUGCCCGGUAGCUAAAUGCGGAAGAGAUAAGUGCUGAAAGCAUCUAAGCACGAAACUUGCCCCGAGAUGAGUUCUCCCUGACCCUUUAAGGGUCCUGAAGGAACGUUGAAGACGACGACGUUGAUAGGCCGGGUGUGUAAGCGCAGCGAUGCGUUGAGCUAACCGGUACUAAUGAACCGUGAGGCUUAACCUUACAACGCCGAAGCUGUU